GAAAAACUUUCCUUCAGAGGUAUGAGGCCAGUAUCUACCACCAUCGACUUCCACCUGGAGAGACAGAGAGGGAUGAUCAAGCUCAUGAUGCAUAAAUGUACUUAUGGAGAAGCUGAACUUGACCCAACAUGGCCUGUAUCACAGGGCUGUUAAAGGAGGAGGAAAUAUGUCAUCAGCCAUGCUAAAACCAUUGAAAUAUCUGGGAAAGAAAUCAUCCUUAAGUCUCAACAAAUCAUCUUUAUACAGCAAUGCGUGUUAAGAAUUAAUUUAAGAAAUGAUCCUCAAGAGGCCAGAUGUGAACACUGUGCCAUCCUAAUCUAUUUUUUCCUGACUAUUAGGUUGAUAAUGGGGAUUCCUUUGCACAGUCAUUAUGCAUUGUUGUCAGUCUUGAGCCAGUUUUAUGACCUGUGUCCAAGA
This 417-nucleotide long non-coding RNA is filed under the name Parus major (Great Tit). Its description in RNAcentral is "lncRNA (ENSPMJG00000016992.1)". The record is from RNAcentral. Lineage: Eukaryota; Metazoa; Chordata; Aves; Passeriformes; Paridae.